This 1361-nucleotide long non-coding RNA is filed under the name Homo sapiens (human). RNAcentral describes it as "metastasis associated lung adenocarcinoma transcript 1". The record is from RNAcentral. Lineage: Eukaryota; Metazoa; Chordata; Mammalia; Primates; Hominidae.
AAAGUCAGGGGUCUAUAAAUUGACAGUGAUUAGAGUAAUACUUUUUCACAUUUCCAAAGUUUGCAUGUUAACUUUAAAUGCUUACAAUCUUAGAGUGGUAGGCAAUGUUUUACACUAUUGACCUUAUAUAGGGAAGGGAGGGGGUGCCUGUGGGGUUUUAAAGAAUUUUCCUUUGCAGAGGCAUUUCAUCCUUCAUGAAGCCAUUCAGGAUUUUGAAUUGCAUAUGAGUGCUUGGCUCUUCCUUCUGUUCUAACUUCACAGAGAAUGCAGUUGUCUUGACUUCAGGUCUGUCUGUUCUGUUGGCAAGUAAAUGCAGUACUGUUCUGAUCCCGCUGCUAUUAGAAUGCAUUGUGAAACGACUGGAGUAUGAUUAAAAGUUGUGUUCCCCAAUGCUUGGAGUAGUGAUUGUUGAAGGAAAAAAUCCAGCUGAGUGAUAAAGGCUGAGUGUUGAGGAAAUUUCUGCAGUUUUAAGCAGUCGUAUUUGUGAUUGAAGCUGAGUACAUUUUGCUGGUGUAUUUUUAGGUAAAAUGCUUUUUGUUCAUUUCUGGUGGUGGGAGGGGACUGAAGCCUUUAGUCUUUUCCAGAUGCAACCUUAAAAUCAGUGACAAGAAACAUUCCAAACAAGCAACAGUCUUCAAGAAAUUAAACUGGCAAGUGGAAAUGUUUAAACAGUUCAGUGAUCUUUAGUGCAUUGUUUAUGUGUGGGUUUCUCUCUCCCCUCCCUUGGUCUUAAUUCUUACAUGCAGGAACACUCAGCAGACACACGUAUGCGAAGGGCCAGAGAAGCCAGACCCAGUAAGAAAAAAUAGCCUAUUUACUUUAAAUAAACCAAACAUUCCAUUUUAAAUGUGGGGAUUGGGAACCACUAGUUCUUUCAGAUGGUAUUCUUCAGACUAUAGAAGGAGCUUCCAGUUGAAUUCACCAGUGGACAAAAUGAGGAAAACAGGUGAACAAGCUUUUUCUGUAUUUACAUACAAAGUCAGAUCAGUUAUGGGACAAUAGUAUUGAAUAGAUUUCAGCUUUAUGCUGGAGUAACUGGCAUGUGAGCAAACUGUGUUGGCGUGGGGGUGGAGGGGUGAGGUGGGCGCUAAGCCUUUUUUUAAGAUUUUUCAGGUACCCCUCACUAAAGGCACCGAAGGCUUAAAGUAGGACAACCAUGGAGCCUUCCUGUGGCAGGAGAGACAACAAAGCGCUAUUAUCCUAAGACCCUUCACCCCUCACCUCGAUGCAGCCAGUAGCUUGGAUCCUUGUGGGCAUGAUCCAUAAUCGGUUUCAAGGUAAUAGCCUGCAGCUGGUGUUUUGAGAAGCCCUACUGCUGAAAACUUAACAAUUUUGUGUAAUAAAAAUGGAGAAGCUCUAAA